RNAcentral lists this ribosomal RNA (163 nucleotides) under Sclerochloa dura. RNAcentral describes it as "5.8S ribosomal RNA". It matches the Rfam family "5.8S ribosomal RNA". Rfam says of the family: 5.8S ribosomal RNA (5.8S rRNA) is a component of the large subunit of the eukaryotic ribosome. It is transcribed by RNA polymerase I as part of the 45S precursor that also contains 18S and 28S rRNA. RNAcentral also lists the same sequence under 1 other name. The record is from RNAcentral. Lineage: Eukaryota; Viridiplantae; Streptophyta; Magnoliopsida; Poales; Poaceae.
ACACGACUCUCGGCAACGGAUAUCUCGGCUCUCGCAUCGAUGAAGAACGUAGCGAAAUGCGAUACCUGGUGUGAAUUGCAGAAUCCCGCGAACCAUCGAGUCUUUGAACGCAAGUUGCGCCCGAGGCCUCUUGGUUGAGGGCACGCCUGCCUGGGCGUCACGC